AGAGUUUGAUCCUGGCUCAGGAUGAACGCUAGCUACAGGCUUACACAUGCAAGUUCGAGGGGCAGCGCCAAGGGUAGCAAUCCAUGGGGGGCGGGCGACCGGCGCACGGGUGGCGUAACGCGUAUCCAACCUUCCCGUUACUCAGGGAUAGCCUUCCGAAAGGGAGAUUAAUACCUGAAUGGUGUUCAAAUUCCGCAUGUAUUUGAACUAAAGAUUUAUCGGUAACGGCAUGGGGAUGCGUGACAUUAGGUAGAUGGCGGGGUAACGGCCCACCAUGCCCACGAUGUCUAGGGGUUCUGAGAGGAAGGUCCCCCACACUGGAACUGAGACACGGUCCAGACUCCUACGGGAGGCAGCAGUGAGGAAUAUUGGUCAAUGGCCGGAAGGCUGAACCAGCCAAGUAGCGUGAAGGAUGAAGGUUCUAUGGAUUGUAAACUUCUUUUAUACGGGAAUAAAACCUCCCACGUGUGGGAGCUUGUAUGUACCGUAUGAAUAAGCAUCGGUAACUCCGUGCCAGCAGCCGCGGU
Molecule: ribosomal RNA, 527 nt
Filed under: uncultured bacterium
Lineage: Bacteria
Description: bacterial SSU rRNA
Rfam family: Bacterial small subunit ribosomal RNA
Source: RNAcentral